This 7943-nucleotide long non-coding RNA is filed under the name Homo sapiens (human). RNAcentral describes it as "HSALNT0030759". The record is from RNAcentral. Lineage: Eukaryota; Metazoa; Chordata; Mammalia; Primates; Hominidae.
CAUUGACCUUGAGGAAGGUCUGACAAGCAGCAGCUAUUUCAGCCUUGGUGUAUUUUAUUUUAUUUUUUGAGACAGAGUCUCACUCUGUUUCCCAGGCUGGAGUGCAGUGGCACGAUCUUGGCUCACUGCAGCCUCUGCCUCCUGGGUUUGAGCGAUCCUCCUGCCUCAGCCUCCCGAGUAGCUGGGAUUGCAGGUCCGUCCAUGCCAUCAUGCUAAUUUUUGUAUUUUUUUUAGUGGAGACAGGGUUUCACCAUUUUGGCCAGGCUGGUCUGGAACUCCUGGCCUCAAGUGAUCUGCCCACCUCGGCCUCCCAAAUUGCUGGAUUACAGGGCGUGAGUCACUGCACCUGACCCUCGGUGUAUUUUAUAUUAGACCCUUUCACUGGCCAUGGUACCAUAAAGAACCUAGUGUUCAGGGACUUGUAGGUGCAACCUGGAUUACCAAUGAGGAUGGGAGAUACUGAAGUGAGCAAAUCUUUGCCUUGGAUCCUAACCAGGGCUCAAAAUAAGCAGCCAUGCUUGUGCAGUGUGAGAAAAGCUUCUUGAGCCUCUUUUUUUUUUUUUUUUUUUUUUUGAGACGGAGUCUCACUUUGUCUCCCAGGCUAGAGUGCAGUGGCUCGAUCUUAGCUCACUGCAAGCUCUGCCUCCCAGGUUCACGCCAUUCUCCUGCCUCAGCCUCCCGAGUAGCUGGGACUACAGGCAUCCACCACUACGCCCGGCUAAUUUUUAAAAAUAUUUUUAGUAGAGAUGUGGUUUCACCGUGUUAGCCAGGAUGGUCUCGAUCUCCUGACCUCGUGAUCCUCCUGCCUCGGCCUCCCAAAGUGCUGGGAUUACAGGCGUGAGCCACUGCGCCCGGCCUCUUGAGCCUCUUUAUGGAGCUCCCCAGAUACACUGCUGGCUUCUUGGAGAAUUAAUUUAGGAUAUUUCAGCUGCCACGGCUGAUAGAAUUCAUCUUUGGGGGUCAGAUAAGGAAGCCAAGUGUCUUCAAACUCUUCAAAAUGCCUCAGUUUCUUAGCUUUGCACUCUUGUUCCUCGGCAAUCAGGGUGUGCUUCAUGCGGCCACUAAAGCCACCUUCCUAAGUCAUUAAGGUUUGGUUUGGUUUUGUUUUUUGAGACAGUCUCACUCUGUCGCCCAGGCUGAAGUGCAGUGGCACAAUCUUGGCUCACUGCAACCACCACCUCCCGGGUUCAAAUGAUUCUACUGCCUCAGCCUCCCAAGUAACUGGGAUUACAGGCGCGUGACACCAUGCCCGGCUAACUUUGUAUUUUUAGUAGAGACAGGAUGUCACCAUGUUGGCCAGGCUGGUCUCGAACGCCUGACCUCAAGAGAUCCACCCGCCUCGGCCUCCCAAAGUGCUGGGAUUAUAGGCAUGAGCCACGUGCCCGGCACUAAGUCAUUAAGUUUUGAGGGUGGUUUGUUAUACUGCAGUAGAUAACUGAGACAACAGGUAUAUGGUUUCCCUGCAUCAUUUUGUUUUAGAUAUAUCUUUCAUGAAGGGCACCUACCUGGAGUUUAAAAAAAAUCCAAUCUGUUAGUUACGUGUUUAGUAGUCAUUGGAUUCAACUCUUUCAUAUCUAUUUAAUUAUUGCUACAUUUGUACUUAUUCGUAGCAUCUUCUUUUGGUUUUGUAACUACCAUGUUGUGUGAGUUUCCUAUAGCUGCUAUAAUAAAUUACCACAGGCCCAGCAUGGUGGCUCAAACCUAUAAUCCCAGCACUUCGGGAGGCCAGGGAGGAAGGAUGGCUUGAGGCCUGGAAUUUGAGACCAGCCUGGGCUAUAUAGCCAGAUGCUGUCUUUACGAAAAAAUAAAAUAAAAUAAAUUGAAAAAAAUCACAAACUUAGUGCCUUAAAACAACACAAAUGUAUUGUCUUAUAGUUUUGAAGGUCAGAAGUCUGAAUGGGUCUUAUAGGCUAAAUCAAGGUAUUGUCAGAGCUGCAUUAUUUCUGAGAACUCUAGAAGAAAAUCUGUUCUCUUGCCUUUUCCACCUUCUAGAAGCCACCUGCAUUCCUUGGCUCACAGGGUGCCUUCCUUCUUCAUUAAAACACAUCAUUUCAUUCUCUUUUUUUGUUGUCACAUUUCCUCUGUAACUAAUCCUUGUGAUUACAUUGGGCCUACCCAGAUAAUCCAGGAUAAUCUCUUCAUCGAACUACUUAAUCACAUCUGCAACAUCCCCUUUUGUUUUGUAAGGUGACAUACUCAGAUUCCGGGGAUCAGGACAGGAGAUUUUUGAAAAGAACCAAGAAGGAUUAUUUCAUCUACCACACAUCCCUUUUCCUGGUUUCUUUUUUAUCCUCUUUUUUGCUUUCCUAAUCUAUCAAGAUGCUUGUGGCUGCAAAGUAGCAGAGGCCUUAGUUAAACAAUGCUGUAAUCAACAGAAAGACAGAAGGCUUACACAACUGGAUACCCAGAGGAGAGUGAGCCCGUGACUCAGCAUCGCCAUCAUGGACCCUGGUUCUUUCCAUCCCUCCCAUCUGCUACCCAUAGCAUUAGCUUCAUCCCGAGGCUGGUUCCUUGAGUGGCCAAGGGAUGAGGCUGGAAGUGUCCUUAUUCACACCCACUGAGGGAGAUAGUUGAGUACUUAUCACUUUCCAUUUGGACCCGGUUUCACAAGCUUGGCACUAUUAUUAUUAUUAGCAGUAGUAGUGGUAGGGACGGGGGUCUCACUCUGGAGCUGUCUCACUCUGUUGCUCCAGGCUGGAGUGCAGUGGUGUGAUGACAGCUCACUGCAACCCUGAACUCCUGAGCUCAAGUGAUCCUCCUGCCUCAGCCUCCCAAGCAGCUGGGACUACAGGUGCGCAUCACCACACUGGAUUCAUUUUUAAAUUUUUUGUAGAGAUAGGUCCUCGAUAUGCUGCCCAAGCUGCUCUCAAAGUCCUUGGCUCAAGCGAUCUUCCCACCUUGGCUUCUCAAAGUGUUGGGAUUACAGGCGUGAGCCACUAAGCCCUGGCUCCCUUAGCAGUUUCCAAACCCACCCUGUGGUUUUCCCAAUACCUGCAGAACCAGCUUUAAAGUGACCACAGCAGAGAUGCCAGUGCAGAUGCUGGAGCCUUUCCUCAGAAGUCUGAGUUUCAAUUAUGCAGAGGGCUCUUCCUCCAACUUCUAAGCUUUAGUGGUUCAACUUCUUCCUUUGUUCUCUCAGCCCGAGUGGGUAGCUGCUUCUUGCAGUUACUAACUUAAGUGAUACUGCAGAUUUGUUUUUUUGACUUUUCAGUUAUCUAGUUAAUAACCAUAAACCUAGUUAACAGUUCUCUGUAUUACAUUGUCUCUGUUAAAUAAUUGGUAUAGUUUCUGUCCCCUGACUGAUGUAUCUUUAUAAGCUUAAUUCUCUAUUACGAUACAUUUGUUUAUGGUUGUGAUUUGCACCUCUGGGAGGGUUAGGUUCUAAGAUCAGGGUAUCAAACAAUAAAACUUGUUGGUCCCCCAAUACACUGCCUCCUUAAUGUAAUCGAAAUUGGCUGUUGGCCCUGGGAUGGAGCCAGCUACCCUAGCUAAGACACUGUUGGGCAGUGCAGAGCAGAAUUUGGCAGCUGAGGAGAAGGCCUCUCAUCUGGCUGUGGUCAGUGUCAGUUCCUCAGGGCUCUCUGCAAACAGAACUGGAAGUUUAUGCUCCCUUUUACCCCACAGGCAGAAGGUCCCUCUGGGAGAAAUUCAUAGGCCAGCUCUGUGCUGAGAUUUCAGUUUAGCUUAUAUAUCUGCUACAUUUCCAUUUUCCCCUGCUCCAGGGCCAGUUGGACCACCCCUCCCUCCCUGUCUUCCCUCCCUCCUUUCUCCAUGAAGACAUUUUUCAGCUCCCUCGUCUUCUUUCUCUUUUUUGCCAGGGGCCAUUGAAUGCUACCUCAUUUCAAAUCACUCUGGGUUAGUGCCCUCCUCCCAGCCCCCAUAUCCUCUGGCAUGUGCCUCAUUCUUCCUGGCAUGGAUCCCGCAUGUCUUAGAUGGGAGAAGGCAUGCAUGGAUUCUUAUGAGUCCCGGGUACUGUGAGCAGUGGCCAAGCUUGGCAUUUCUUGUAGCCCAGAUGUCAUGGAGGAAUUCAUACUUGCUACCUACAGAUAAAGAAACAGAAAAUCAAUGACUUACCCGAGGCAUUUAGCCACUCCUACAACUUAAUUAAAAAAAAAGACCAAAACCCAAAAACAAAAAAGAAGACAAACAAAAAACAACAAAACAAUGGGCAAAAGGUUUGAGCAACCAUUUUAUAAAGAUACACAGAUGACCAAUAAGCACACACAAAAUAUUGCUUAACAUCAUUAGUUGAGCAAUUAAUGACAUGCUCAAAUUAAAUAUAUGCAAAUUAAUUUGCAUUGUAUAAAUGCAAAUUAACAUGCAAAUUAAAUAUACAAUGAGAUACUAUUACACACCCGGUAGAAUGGCUAAAAUUAAAGACUGACAAUAUGAAGCAUUGGUGAGGAUGUCAAGCAACUGGAACUCUCAACAUUACUGGUGGGAGUAUAAGGUGGCACAACUAAUUUGAAAAAAAAGAGUUCCAUAGUUUCUUAUAAAACUAAACAUAGGGGUCGGGUUCUGGGGCUCAUGUCCGUAAUCCCAGUGUUUUGGGAGGCUGAGGUGGGAAAAUCCCUUGAGGCCAGUAGUUCACGACAAGCCUGGGAAACAUGGCAAGACCUCAUUUCUAAUUUAAAAAAAAAAGUUCGCAGACAGUGGUGGCGUGUGCCUAUAGUCCCAUCUACUGGGGAGGCUCAGGCAGGAGGAUUGCAUGAGCCCGGGAGUCUGAGGUUGCAGUGGGCUAUGAUGGCAUCAUUGCACUCCAAUCUGGGCAACAGAGAUAGACCCUGUCUCAAAAACAAAGCCCCAAACAACCACCAAACAUAGGACCUUUAUCAAAAUUAAAAACUUUUGUGCAUCAAAGGACACUAUCAAGAGAGUGAAAAGGCAAGCUACAAAAUGGGAGAAAAUAUUUGCAAACCAUGUAUCUGAUAACGGGUUAAUAGCCAGAAUAUAAAACAACUCCCCAAACUCAACAACAAAAAAAACAAGCAACAGAAUUUAAAAAAUAGGCAAAGGACUUGACAGACAUUCCUCCAAAGGAGAUAUAUAAAUGGCUGAUAAACCCAUAAAAAGAUGCUCACAUCACUAAUGAUUAGGGAUGCGCAAAUCAAAACUACAGUGAGAUAGUGCUUCAUUUCAUUAGGAUGGCUAUUAUAAAAACAACAGCAACCACAACAAACCAAAACAUAAAAUGGCAAGUGUUGGUGAAGAUGUGGAACUCUUGUGUAUUUUUAGUGAGAAUGUAAAAAUGGCACAGCUGCUGUGGAAAACUGUAUGGUGGCUUAUCAAAAAAAUUGAACAUAGAAUUAACUGUAUCUUCCAGGAAUUCCACUUUUAGAGAUACACCCAAGAGAACUGAAAGCAGGGACUCAAACAGAUAUUUGUACACCGAUGUUAGUAGUAACAUUAGUCACAAUAACUAAAAGAUGAAAACAACCCAGCGUCUAUUGACAGAUGAAUGUAUAAACCAAACGUAGUAUCACAUAUAAUGAAAUAUUAUUCAGCCUUAAGAAGAAAUGAAGUUUUGAUAGAUGUUACAACAUAAAUAAGCCUUAAAAAUAUUACGCUAAGUGAAACAAACCAUGCACAAAGGACAAAUAUUGUAUGAUUCCACUUUUAUGAAUACUCAGAAUAGUCAAAUUUGUAGAGAUAGAAGGUAAAAUAGUGGUUACUGGGCUCGGGGGAGGAGGUAAUGGAGAGUUAUUGUUUAAUGGGUAUGGGGUUUCAGUUGAGAUGAGAAAAAAGUUGCGGAGAUGAAUAGUGGAGAUGGUUGUACAACAACGUAAAUGUAUUUAAUGCCACUGAAUCACACACUUAAAAAGGGUUAAAAUGGUAAAUUUUAUGUUCUGUAUAUUUUACCACUAUAAAAAGAAAAAAAUAGCCAGGUGUGGUGGCUCACGCCUGUAAUCCCAGCACUUUAGGAGGCUGAAGCGGGCAAAUCACUUGAGGUCAGGAGAUAUAAAAAAAUUAGCCGGGCGUCAUAAUGUACUAAAUGCCACUGGAUUGUACAAUUUAAAAACAGUUAAAAUGGUAAAUUUUAUGUUAUGUGUAAUUUGCCACAAUAAAAAUGCUAAAAACAAAGAAACUAUACAGAAACAUACCUUACAACCCAGCAAUUCCAUUUCUGUAUUUAUCCAAGAGAAAUAAAAAUAAAAAUACUUGUACACAUAUGCUCCUAGAAGCUUGUAAAAGCCCCACAUAGGAAAGAGCCUAGGAUGUCCAUCAAUAGGAGAAUGGCUCAGCCAACUGUGGUAUAUAUGAUCAAUGGACAACUAUUGAAGUCACUCAACCAGUUGGUUGAGCAGAAACAUGGAUGUAGAUUGUUUUACUCCAGUUUCUUGUCUUUCUUCUUCCCCACAAGGUGGGCUUUCCCACUCACCCAAAAAUUUUGACCUAAGGAACACCUUGAGUGUUACUGAAACCCUAGAGCUCCCUGGCGGGCUCUGUUGAAACUCUUCCUUUGUCCUCUCACAGGAAAGUCAUCAUCUGUGCUGUGGCCUCCGAGACCUCUAUCUGGUCCCAUAGGUUUGGGUCCAUCCCUUGCCAGGAUUGACAGAGGAACCCUCCCCAUUCCUCAGCAGAGGGGAAUCUAGGCACAGAGGCGCCCAGCAUGCCUGGGUCAUGGUUUUCACCUCUCUAGGGGUCAGAAUUCUAACUGGUCUUUCUUUCCCAUGUUUCAAGUUGGAAUGCUUUGGCCACCAAUACACAGGCUUCUGUGAGCCUGACAAGAGCCUCUCUUGGGGGUGACCCUGAGAGGCACAGAGUUGUCAAGGCCAGGCAUGCUCACUGUUCUCCAAGUUGCAAAAUGAGCCAUCUACUCCAUACAGUUUGAGGGCAUGGAUCUUCAGUUGCACAAUCUGUAUUUGAAUCUUAGCUUUACCACUUGUUUUGGUAAACUGCACGACCUCACUGUGCUGCACGUUCCUCAUUGGUGAAAGGAAAUGAGAAUGCUACUUGCUUCAUGGGGUUGCUGUGAGGAUGAAAUUGCUUCAUAGGGUGUCAAGUUCUUGGAGUUGGUGCGUAGCACAUGAUAAGUACUAUGUAAGUGUAUUAUUUUUACCCACCAACCACCAUGUUCUCCAUGUUCUUUGAAGGCUGUUGUUCUCCAACAAGUGAAAAGAAAUAAUUAAUGCAUCCUAUCAGUCAGGAUUCAGACACACCAGUAGUUUGAAUAGGGAAAAUUUAAUGUAAAAAAUUAUUAACUAGUAAAGGAGGAUUCAUUACGAAGAAGGGUAAAUGGAACUCUAGAUAAUUCAGGAAUAACAAAGGGAGCAGCCACUACCUCUAGGGCUGACAUAGGGAACCCAAGGAAGCAACAAACUCUCCCUCCCCUCCAAGGCUGAGAUUCAGAGUUCACUGGUGAGGGUGGCUCCGGGGCCUGCGGAUGGUGGAGGAGUUUGCUGAGGUGCUGCAGGCUGAGGAUGGCAAGCAGGAAACUCUGUCGGGUGCUGGCAAAAUCUCACCGGGAAGCCGCCCACUGGCAGCUGUGCUGGAGCUAGGAUUAGGGUGACCAUAUGUUCCAAAUUGUCCGGGACGGCACAAUUCAUGCUUGUUGGUCCAGUAUUAUUAACAGUGCUCCUUUUGACUCUCAGAAAUGUCCCUGUUUGGAGGAUAAAUUAUGUGGUCACAUUAUCUACAGAUGCAUCAGCUUCCAUGAAACUAACCUUCCCACUGCUAGUAGCUAGAAAUUCUGUAAAUACCCCACCCUACCCCCAAUCUGUCUGAAUGCAACAAUGAGCCACCAAGGCAGCCUAAGGGCUAAGGGGCCAAAAUUUCAUGGAGAAGAGAAGUGCAUUCAGGGGGGCUCAGCACCCUGAGCUGCUGUCCUCCUUGAAGUGUUUGUCAGUGACAGAAACUAUGAGGCUGAAAAGGUGAGCAGAAAGCAAUGGCUCUCCAGAGGAACAUAUGAUUAAAAAUACAUCGAGUCAUCCAUAGGAUCGUUU